RNAcentral lists this long non-coding RNA (7077 nucleotides) under Gallus gallus (chicken). Its description in RNAcentral is "lncRNA (ENSGALG00010012785.1)". The record is from RNAcentral. Lineage: Eukaryota; Metazoa; Chordata; Aves; Galliformes; Phasianidae.
AUUCUAUGAAGAGUGAAUUUCUUAGGAACUUUCUGACUUUUACCCCAGUUUGGUAUGAUAAUUAAAAUUAGCAUUUUAUACACAGUGUUAGCUGGAAUGUAAGCAUUACUGUCUCAUCAUUUAAUGUGGCUUGAUGUUACCUGAUGACAUGGAAGUGAAAAUAAUUUUGCAGUGGCUUCUAAUAAAGCCCAGUGUUUUUAAUAUGUAGAAUCCAUAGCAAGGUCAGAGUAGGAGUUAUGUUGCUUGAAAUAAAGAUGAUCCAGGUUUGUUAUACUUGUUCUUUUUGGUUGUUGUUUCUUUGGCUUUUUAAUACAUAUUUUUCUAAUGUUUUAUGUUUGCUAUUUACAAUUGUAAUAAGGUAAAACACAGUAUAUCUGCCUGGCAGCAGGUAAUAAAUAUAUUGUCAGUAAUCUCUGUUCAAUUAAAUUUGCUUAGUCAAAGCUCUUAACUAACCUUGAUGCCUCACUGUGAUUGUGGCAGAUGUACUACUUCAGUGAGCUGGAAAAUAUAUUAAGAUAUAUGGUUUCUGUUAGAUUUCUAUAUCAAUUUAUAGCUGUGAUAUUAGUUAUAUAGUUGCAUAGAUGAGUAUUAUAACCAUUCAAACAUGGGGUACCUGAGACAGGGGCUUUUUUGACUUAAACAUUUUUAUACAGCAGUAACAGAAUAUGAGGCUGUACCUGCAGCUAACAGCUCAGUUUAUUGUUCAUGCAGGUCUCCAGAGUACAUGUCAGUGUUGCCAUCCCUAACCCACCCGUGCUAUGAAAUGCAUAUGUGUUGUCACGAGGACUUUCCUAUAGAUCUCAAGAAAUUUUAAGGCUACUGUGGGCUGUUCAUCUGGAAUAUAAUUUUAUCUAUCAUCCAUGCUCAAGGAAGGAAUUUAAAAGGGGAACAGGCAGAGAGAAGUCCUGCUGAGAUGAUCAAGGACUGGGAGUGCUUGGCUAUAGCAUUAAAGACAAAAGCACAUUUAAUUAAGCAAAAGAGAGGCAGUGCUGAAGCUAGCAGAUCAUGUUGGCACAGGAACCAAAACAUAAAUUGGCUAAGAAUAACUCUGCAAUAGAAUUUUACAUAAGGUUCUUUAGAGAAUUUCUGAAACAGUCUUCCGAAUGAAGUAGUGGUAGGGGAAAAUGAUCUUAUCUCAGGAUGGAGUGUAAUAUUUCUAUGAAAGGGUGAUAUGAUGCAGUGCCAUACAGGGCAAUUGUACUCAAAGAGUCAUGAGGUCAGUUUGCAGUUAGCGUUGCUAUAAACCUAAGUUUCUUUGUACCAUUUGAAAACAUGAGCAGAAUUAUUGCCAAUUGCAGCCAAGAAUUUCAGUAUUGCAGCCCCUAGAAACUAUGAAAGUUUUGAACUAGUUGCUCACAGAUGUUGAUUAAGUAAGGAUAAGCAAUGUGGCUGCUACAGCAUAUGGGACUUACAUUGGUAACCCUGCAUCAUCUGCUACUAAGUGUCAUGAGGUGCUACAUGAACAAGAACAAAACGGGAGCUAAUGUUACUGCCAUCAGCUUCUCUCAUUUUUUUCUUAUUUAUUUAUGAUACUGUUUACAGUGAUCUUAAUUCUAUGCUCUGAGGGUGCACGGGGGAUUGAGUAUACCCUAAGUAAGUUUGCAGAUGACAUCAAGUUGGGAGGAAGUGUCAACCUGCUGGGGGGGUAGGAAGGCCCUAAUCCAGAGGGAUCUCGGCAGUUUGGAUCAAUGGGCUGAGGCCAACUGUGUGAGCUUUAAAGAGACCAAGUGCUGAGACUUGCACUUUGAUUUCAAAACCCCUAUGAAUUUCUAGAGGCUUGAGGCAGAGUGGCUGGAAAAGCUGCACAGAGGAAAAAGAUUGGAGGUGUUAGUUUGACAGUUAGUUGAACAUGAGCCAGCAGUGUGCCCAGGUGGCCAAAAAGCCAAUGGCAUCCCGGUUUGUAUCAGAAAUGGUGCAGCCAGCAGAACUGGGGAGAUGAUCGUCCCUGUGUACUGAGCUCUGGUGAGGCCGCACCUCGAGCGCUGUGUAAUUUUGGGCUCUUCAGUACAAGAAAGACACAGAGGCCCUGGAGCAUGAUCAGGCAAGGGCAACAAAGCUGGUGAAGUGUCGAGCGCAAGUCUUCUGGGGAGCAGUUGAGGGAACUGGGACUGUUCAGUCAGGAGGAGAGGAGGCUCAGGGAAGACCUUAUGGUCUUCAGGCUGUCAUGGCACUGUAUGAUUCUACCAUACUCUGCCAUGACAGCCUGCUGUUUGUUAAAGCAUGCUUACCUUUGUAUAAAAUGAUUCAUGAAAUACUGCGCUGCCCUCUUGAGGCUGUCUAAUGUAUGUUCUGAGCCUGGGGGGUUUUAUUGUUGCGGUGAAAAAGUUAUUUUAAUAAUAUCUGGUUUCUAUGAAAAUAAGCAGAUUAGGCAUGACCAUUUCAAAGCAAUCUCUGUGUUUUAGAUGUCCAAAAGGAGCUGGGCACAUUCCCUUGUCAAAGUCUGUGCCUUAAUUUCUCCAUCUUAACUCAAAAUAUUCCAAGGAUCAUGUGCAAAAGUGCAGAGAUUGGGAGUAGAGUCUGAUAAUGGUUUUUGGUUACAUUCCUUGUUUGGAUUUGAACACAGGAAUAAUUGGCAGCAAUGGGAGGAAUCAUGCUUCUUGUACUUUGGUAUUGGCCAGCAGUCCUGCAAGAGUUUGAUCUUGCAAGUUGAUAGUGAUACAGCUUAUAGUGACUGCUGUGUUGUCUGCUGCAGCUAUUUUGCUCCCUGAAGGUUUCUUCCACUUAUGUAUGCCGUCUGAUUAGAAAUGGUUGCUUAAGUGAACUAAAUGUGUCUAGAUUGACUGAAUGAGGAAUUCAAGCCGUUAGAAUAGCGCCGCCAUGCAAGUGCAAAGUUUAAGCAUGGAGAAGGAAGACACCGUGUGCCAGAAAUCACCUUUGAUAGCUUUUUUUAAAAAACAAACAAAACAAAAAAUUAAAAAAAAAAAAAGCAGGGUUACUACAGAUGUUUUGUGUAAUAGUUUCUCUUAUAUUAAUUGCUUAACAUGAGACUAGAUGGACAAUGGCGGGAAUGCAGAGCGCUGAAGUAGGCUGCCUAAUUGCUCAUUUUUCAUUUCUUGCUCUGGGAAUUGAUUUAUAGUACAGAGUGUCCAUCAGAGAUAAACAGAAGGAACAAAAAGGUCCCAUGUGUUCCUGCACUGCUGUAAGGCUUGGAUUUGACGUGACAGGAGAAGAUGUUUUAGCCAUCUGUCUUACCUCCUGCUCCACAGUGCCUGUGCCAUUCCAAGGGGUUCCUGGAGAAGAUGAAUAAUAGCAGCUAGAAGCAGAAAUACGCUGGGAGUGAUUUCUAGUGGCAGAAAGUUUGGCAGAGCUCCUACUCCCUUAACUGGAGGCAAAGGUUUCCUUUUGUUCAUCUAGUUUUAGAAUAUUUGCUGCCUGUCCCUAAAGGUUGAUUUCAAGCCUCAGUUGUGUUAAUAUGAUUGACGCUCAUUUGGUGACUUAUUUCAGACUGGCUGCCGUGGUUGGCAGACAACAAUUUGUUGGCCAUGAGGGGGAGAAUUACUGAUGGUUGUAAUAACAUGCCAAAAUGAGUAUUGCAUUAUAAAUUUCCAUUCCAGCUGCUCAUAAAGAAGGUCAUGCACUCCAUCUCAUGUCAAACUAACAUGACUAAACAUUAAUAGUUGUACCUCACUGACCAAGUACCCAUGGAAUGGCUAAUACUACUGCUCCUCAAAACCACCCCUAUUACAUAGACUUGUAUUACUAAGCAUAGGAGUAGUAGUAAUUCUUGAUAUCAUCUGAAACUCUGACUAUUUGACACAGGAAAAUCAAUGCUCUUAUUUGGUAUCUUCUAAAAUACCUGAAAAUAACCAGUAGUCCGUUGACUUUUUUUUCCAAAGGUAGAUAUAAAUGCUUUUUAGUAUGCAAAAUUUCAAGGCCUCGAGAACUUUGCUUCCCUAUAUACAUUCAGGUUUUCUUCCAUUGUCUCUAUUAUAAUUGGCACAUUUUAAUGAGUAAAUACCUCUACAAAUAAGAAGAAUUGGAAUAAAAACUAAACAACAGUGCCUGUAGUUGACUAUGAAAGAGAACUUUCUUUUUCACAACUUGUGUGGUUGAAGGCCAAACAUUAUUAUUAAAUACAUAUUUUCAGAUCAGGAAAUGCAUUGUAACCAUGACUAGCAACUAUGAAAAAAAAAAGCAGAAAAAGAAGAAAGAAAAAGCUUUUUCUUCAAGAGUGGAAUAAUGUACUUAGAAAUGAUUUGAGAAGCAGGACUGUUGACACAACAAAUGUGAAAUUGAAUCCUAUUUACUGACACUGUCAUUUCUGACAAAUGAAACUUUUUCAUGUGGAGAGAACUUAACUGAGAAUAUCCUCUUUCCUGUCUGUAAUUCACAGUAGAUACGCUUUCUUCCUCAAGGCAGUAUAGCUCUUCAGCUUCUUUCUUGCCUGACAUAACAUGCCUCUUCAAUUGCAUUGUGCAUAACUUCAUAGGGACCUGCAAACAGAAAAUACUGUCAUAUAUCCUCAUGCCCUGGGGUAUCAAUGCACAACUGCAGCCAAAGAAAUAUUGAAUAGGGAGAAGAAUUCCACUGCCUCCCAUUCUCUUUUGUCAUUUUGCUGCCUUAUGUUCCUUUUAUAGGGCAUGUUUAUUGUAGAUAAAAACAAAAGGAAACUAAGGGGGCAUUAAAGCUGUUUGUCCCUUUUUCUUGAUACAACUUUGUCAGAGGAGAAGAUGGGACACAUAGUGAACAUAAAAGUGUACUCUCAUACUCAGAAGGCCACCCUGAAACUGGGAACUAAAUUCCUGAUGUUAAUAAUAAGUAAAAUGCAAAAAGCAAAAUGCCACACAAACAAACAAACCCAGAGGGUUUGCUGAUGGAUGUCCAUACCUGUGAGUGCAGAGCAGCACUGAGAUUAAUUUCUGCUGUUAUCCUGGUGAAAUGUCUGACUUGUGAAAGCUAAACACACACAAGUAUUUAAGUAAGAGAUCUAAAUUAUCUGUAUAUUUGUGCAUAUUUCAUCCAUUAUAUUCUGCUGUCCUCUAUCUAUCUCUUAUUUUCCUGGACUAAUGUGCUGCAGCCUUAAGUAUUAUCAGGAAUGCUCAAGCCUUCGUAUGUUGUAGAAAUAUGCAUCGGUAAACAAAAGCAGCAGCUGUGAACUCUGCAUCUACACACUAUGCUGUUUUAUAUACUACUUUUCUUUUUAAAGUAAAAUUAUACCUAACAUGCAGUUCAAAAGCUAGCUCAAAUUCAUGUUGCCUGAAGCCAUAUGACCUUGAACUCAGACGUGGAUUUCAGGCAAAACAAGGUAGGUCUGGAAGACUGAGGAAGGAGGAAAUGACUUUGAUGAUUCAGGAAGGACACAUGCUGGUGGUUCAGAGAGUACACAUGGUCAUUCAGUAAGAGUAUGCUUUCACCUCAACUAGUACUGAGCAAGUACCUCCCAAACCUUUGGGAGGCAAAGGUUUGUUAUUAAAGAUGCUGGCCAAAGUGCAUUUUCUUCAAAGACUUGCAUAUUCCCUCUGUUCUAAAUUAUAAAUAAGACCUCUUUUCUAUCUUGGCUUUUUGGUGUCCAAAGUAGAGAAUUGCAUCAGAAUAUAAAACAAAUUGACUGUCAAGCAUUAUUGUAUUAUUUUCUCGUAAUGAAUUGUUUCUGCCUAUGAAUUGGAAGAAUGUAAACAAGAAAUUUGAGCCAAAUACAUUUUUGAUGAAAUCUUAUACUGAGGUUCCAUGAGAGCAAAAUUCUAAUUUUCAGGACAAGUUCCUGUUAAAGUACACCUGCAUGAAGAUGUGUGCAGCUGAAAUGAAUAUAUAAUGCAACCUGAGCAGAUUUAAUCAUGUUUAUCUGGGCUUGUCUCAGGUUUUGGAGGUCUUACUGAUAGCAGAAGUGUUUAUAGAUAUUGCAGGCUUUUUAGCAGCCAAUAUAAUGUAUUUUACAUUGUAAAUACAUGAGUAAUCUUUAGAAGUGCAAUUAAUAACAGUACUGAGAUACACAGUUUAUCAUCUCAAAUUGAAUGUCUGGGCAGUGGGUCACUUUGUUUGAUUUUGUUUCAUUCUGCUACUUCAUAUAUUUUUUCUUCUUAAGUGGCACAAUUCCAGCUCUUUCAGAUAUCCAGAGUUUAGUUCUGUUGCUUUAUAUGUAGGUCAGGUACUCCUGCUCUUCAGGUAACUGAGAGGAAAGAUGACAUAUACAGCAAAUAGAAAGUGUUGUAAGUUCCCCCGUAAUCUGUCACGGGAAUAUUCCUAUUAAAGAAGGAAGUUCCUGAGGACUUUCACUUCAUUCCUUAACCAUAAGCAAAAGAUAGCAAGAUCGAAAAAUCAUCUGCACAAUUCAAAACAGAUUGUCUUUGAAAGAAGUUUCUGUCUCAGGGAGGUAAUUAGAAAUGUAGCUGGGAAGAUCUUGCAUGAUCUUUCCAUAUGGCUUCCUAUUUAUUCCUACCACACUGAGUUGGUAGUUGUAUGGAUUUCUAUAUGUCUAUAUAUGUAUGCAUGUGAAUAUAUGAAACUGGGAAACUGGAACUGUAGCUUUGCUCUGAAAAUGACUACAGAUUGUACUUUCUUAUCACUUCGGUCUUCAUGCUGUGUGUAUUCAUAGCUUAUUACUUUAGACGCAGAAUAAGGAUUACAGAAAUAUUGCUUCUAACAUUAGUCACACUGAUCCAACUCAGAUAAAAAUUAGGGAGCUGGAUUCAUUUUCCAUUACAUCAGCUGCAUUUCCUACAAGGUUCUUGAUGGUGACAUGUAAGCAAAGAACCUUUCAUUGGCAUGGAGGUGCUAUAGGACUCACUGUGACUUGCAGAUCUGUUCUAGUGCUGGCGGUGUCAAGGAAAUGUAUGAAAAGCAGCUGUGAAACAUCGUAAGGAGAGGAAAAAAUUGUACCAUAAAAAUAGGACAACCAUAUUUUCCACAAACUUCUCAAGUCAUCUGGAGGAUGUUUAUCUGGAAACAAACACUGCUGUGAAGGCUGGAUCUGACUGUACUAGCUUCAGUAUAAGUGUUGUAACGGGUUUCCUGUGAUGUUAUAUACUGAAACUUGCCUGAGGGAUUCCUAAUGUCUGAAAAGAUAAGAGCGGAGAGAAUGGGGGAAGAGUACAUCCAGGGAUCUGGUAUAUAAUCUCAGCUCUGUUACUGACAAGCAGA